This 253-nucleotide ribosomal RNA is filed under the name uncultured bacterium. RNAcentral's name for it is "partial 16S ribosomal RNA". It matches the Rfam family "Bacterial small subunit ribosomal RNA", at positions 524 to 776 of the family's 1533-position model. The record is from RNAcentral.
UACGUAGGGUGCAAGCGUUAAUCGGAAUUACUGGGCGUAAAGCGUGCGCAGGCGGUCGUGCAAGACAGAUGUGAAAUCCCCGGGCUUAACCUGGGAACUGCGUUUGAAACUGGGAGACUUGAGUGUGGCAGAGGGGGGUGGAAUUCCACGUGUAGCAGUGAAAUGCGUAGAUAUGUGGAGGAACACCGAUGGCGAAGGCAGCCCCCUGGGUUAACACUGACGCUCAUGCACGAAAGCGUGGGGAGCAAACAGG